RNAcentral lists this non-coding RNA (46 nucleotides) under Schistosoma margrebowiei. Lineage: Eukaryota; Metazoa; Platyhelminthes; Trematoda; Strigeidida; Schistosomatidae. The record is from RNAcentral.
GCACUGCCGAAGAGUCCCAUACUAAGACGAAACGGCCGUUCAGUGC